UGAGAAGGUUAUAAUGUUACUUGUUAUUGAUAUUAGCCUUUACAUAAUACCUACGUUGCUGCAACGUUAAACUAACAUUGCCUGACAAUCUUCUUCCAAGAAGUGGAUUUAGUGCUAUUAGACUUGCGUGAUAAGGUCCACUUUACCAUUGAACAUCAUUAUUCCGUAAAAAACCGCUGACAUUGCUCUUAUAGACUCUGAUGUUUAUCAUAAGAAGGUUUUGGUAUUAUUAAAUCGAGAUUCAAAUUUCCCGCGAUAGUAGUUCGAUGUUUGGCCACAACGAGUAGCUGGCGGACCGUGUUUAUGGCGGGAAUUACAACGAGUAUCUGUGCCUGGCGCGACUUUUGUUGUUGUUUACAGGACAGGAGGCUUCAGACCAGGAGAAAGGUGUUGGCAAAAGAGAAAUUAGACCACCUUCUAAACUUGCUGAGGUCAUUGAUGAAGAAGUGGUCAACAAGAGGAGACAAACAAGCAUUGCAAGGAGAAAGCAUCCCAUCCUCACUUCAGAUGAUGACUUCCGAAGAUGACAGGUCACAUCCAAAACUUCACUUGCCCCAUUAUUCAGGUCUUGAAAGUUAAAUUGACAAGGUAAAAUCUGACACUGAAGAGGUUAAGAGGGCGUCAUCCCAGUUUAAAGAUGAAAUCUUGGAAGCAGUUAGAGAUAGAAAUUUUGAUGAUGACCCUAGAGAAAAUCUAAACCAGCUUUUCCCCAUCAUUCUGACUUCUGAAGAGGAAGUGGAACAGUUUGAAAAAACACUCAGAAAAGCCUUAUAGAAAGUCAAUGGUUACUGAGCUGGCUUCAGUGUAUGCAAAUAAAGAUGAGAAACCAGUGAUCCUCUGAUGGGUCAUGAGACACCUCAUGACAAAAGAAAUUGAUGGGGGAAUAUUCGUUGAAGGGAUCAAGAAGAAAGAAAAAAGAAGUCUCUUUGAUACUAGACCACAUGGAUUAAUUCGUGGUGUUGCCAUUAGAUUUCUGACCAAACAAGAUAAGGAAGCAGACAUCGUGAUAGAUGACACUAUUGUGGCCGUCCUCAAAUUUGCACCACAUGGGGAAGGAGGGGAAAAGUUGAAGCCAAGGUCAAAACCAAAGGAGAUCAAGGCCUCUCCAUCCGCCUCUUUUCGGACACCUAAAAUGCUGCAUAACCCCAUAAACUUUUUUGCAUUCUUGUGACUUGUGCUCCCUCUUCAUGAAUUCUUGUGUAAAUUUAUAAGUAUUACUACUAUACACUGCAUUUUAUAAAUUAAGUAAUUUUCUUUAACUGGUUACAGUACAGUAUAGUGUCCCCAUAUUUAUUUGUCCAACGCCUGUGGAAUAGUUAACUGAGAUAUUGAAAAAUUAUGUAUCAUCCUUGUGGAUAGAAUUAUGAGUAAAUGUGUAGACUAUAUAUAGUUUAACAUCAUGGGUGUUUCAAUUAAUUCUUGGUCUUCCUGUCCUCGGAGUGGGAGUAAGGCAUUAUAGAUAAUUAGUGAUUUUUUAGGCUAAGGUGUGCAAUAAUAAAAAGGUUCUACAUGCCAUAUUCAUAUACAAAUUGUAUAAUUAUGAUAUCUUAGUUGUAUUUCCAUUUCUUUUUAUGGGAACACAUUUUAAAUAGCUAAUAUUUCUGAACUGUGUGGAGUGAUUCAUCAUGUUCUUCCACAUGUCCAUCCCUUAAUCUCAGAUACUGUUCCUUACCCCUCACACCUCUCCCUAACCUAUUCAUAACUCUAGGUUAAACUAACUCCCUUCACAUGUUCCUAAGAACUUAAGCUUAAUCACAUUUGUCAACUUUUUACCCUUCUCAUACAGUCAAACAGUCACUGGCAUUCCAAACCUUUCUAUUCUUAACUUGCUUAUCUUGACAUUUAUAAGCUCCCAAAACUUUUCUGCUCUCUAUGGAAUAUCGAUCACCUCCUUCAAAAAUAUCAGAAACUAUUUGAAACCUACAACCCAUAUUUUCCUUACUAUACUUAUUAUUUACUCCUAUCAACAGUCCCCCUCUAUUUGUUCAUACUAUACACACAUUCAAACGUUUCACCAGUGCCUUCGCCUUUUCCUUAAAUGUCCCACAUGAAUACAAUUGAAACUCAAACUAAAGCUAUUAAAAAUAAAGCACUUGUCUCCUACCUAAUCCCUGUCUUUCUGUGAGCGUGAGUGAGCAUUAUACACGCAUAUAGUGUUCUUGGGAGUCCCUCUACCUGCUAUGUAGUUGCCACUAUAUGUAUUUCACUGUGUACUUUUAUACUUUGUAGAAUAAAAAAGGGUAGAACAAUUUA
Molecule: long non-coding RNA, 2253 nt
Organism: Macrobrachium nipponense
Lineage: Eukaryota; Metazoa; Arthropoda; Malacostraca; Decapoda; Palaemonidae
Exons: 5
Source: RefSeq, a predicted model, not a curated record